AAAAAAUGUUUUGUGUCUGAUGUAAGGCUGUUACGAUUUACUCGCAUAUUGGGUGAAUCGAACCAAAGCCCUUCAUGAAUUCAAUUUGUUAUUCAUGGUCACCAGAACCGAAUAUUAAUGAAUAUUUAUGAUUUCUUUAAGGGAGUGUGUUUUACUUGAACCCUUAUAUCUUUUUUCAAAGUGAGAUCAGUAAGAAUGGAAUAUGUACUUCUCUUGCAGUAGUGCAAGUCAUGUUAGUUUGCCAAGGCCGCACAUG
Long non-coding RNA from Haliotis rubra (blacklip abalone), 256 nucleotides. RefSeq lists it as uncharacterized. The record is from RefSeq and is a predicted model, not a curated record. The transcript has 4 exons. NCBI's taxonomy places the organism in Eukaryota, Metazoa, Mollusca, Gastropoda, Lepetellida, Haliotidae.